CGCGCGCGAGUCGGUUGUCCCCACCUGCCUGCUGGUGGGCCUCCGUUUUCCCGUUUUGCACAUGGGAAUGACGGCGAAGGUGGAGGUCACGCGGAGGGCGGCGGCCCGGCGCUGAGGCGCUUCGGGAGCGGGCUCCGCCCAGCCCAGGCCGAGCCCGGACCUUACACGGGCUAAAGCUGGAGCUUCUGCGGGGCUGCGCAGGCGGGUCUCGGCCAGGGCACGGCCGGGCACCUGCGCGUCUCGGGCUGCAGGGACGGGCGUCGGGUCCCAGGUCAGGCUGCACGGGUUCCGCGUGGGGCCGUGCUCGGCCGGGGGCUAGCAGGCCCCGCGGGGACUCCGGACGCCCAGUGUCACCAACGAGGACACUGAGUCUCAAGUCAUCUGAGGGACCUUUGCCCGAGGUCGCAGCCCCUCCCUGGAGGAGCUGAAGCGCAGAGUGGGGACCCCCUUGCGGAGACCCUCCUGGGACCUCCUUCCGCAGGGGCCUGGGGCGCCUCCCUCCUCUCCCUGCUCUGCCUGCGGGCACUGAGCUCCCGAACGACUCCAGCCCCUCGCUCUCCCUGUGACCUACUGGAGAAGAGACCUGGGAGAAACCUGGGGACCAUGGGUGUGUGUCCUUGGGCCUCCAGGGUCACCUUUCAGCCUGUUUCCCCGCAGGUGAACCAAGAGUCACACCCAAGGCAGAAGAGCAAGAGUGAUGAGUCCGCUGCACCUUCGGCUAGGGAGGUUUCCCCGCCGCCCUCACUCUGUGAUGCUUGCUGUCCUUGCGAGGCCCACGCCAAAGACCUACGGGCAGCCCUGGGCUCCCGCGAAGGGCCUUGCUGAGCUCCUGGGAAGGAGGUGUGCCCUCCCCAUCCCCUACCGCCCCACUGGCUGGGGUUCUCUGCAGCCCAGGACUGUGCAUGUGUGCGCACACGGGUUCUGUGCACAUGAACACAAAAGUGUGCUCGUGGACACUGUGUGGUACUGUGUGUGCACAGCGCACGUCUGUGAGCUAAGGGAGUGUUCCUGGACACCAGGUGCAAGUGCACAAGUGUGUGUAUGCACAAGUGUGUGCCCAGGCGCGAGCAUGGGAAUGGUAGUAUAUGGCACAAAUGUGUGUGCACCCAUGGGUGGGAGGGAAGAGGGGCACAUGUCCACCAGCGUUCCUGUGCUCAGGCCGGCCUGUCCUGGGCCCACCCAGGCUCCUUGCCCUGGUGUAUUUGAGACUCCCCUGGCUCCCAGGAGGCAGUAGUGUGUGCCUGUCUUGCAGCCUAGCUGGGAUUUGAACAGGGCUUCAGCCUUCUGCUAAGACAGCUGGAGUGCAGGGAAGCCGGCUCCUAUCCAGGGAGGUUGCCCAUGACUGCUGACCCCCCAGCUUCCACUUGAAGGGGAAGGUUCGCCAGGAGCAAUGCCUGUCUGAGAGCUGGCAGUCCAGACUGAGGAUGCUGGGUGCCUGGCACAGUGCCCACCUCCCCCUCCGUGGCUGGCGCUGUCUCUGUGGCCGCCACCUCACUCAGCCUCCUCUGACAGCUCCGUGUUCAGGUGUGGAAAGGAGGGGAAAGUGAAGCCCCUUCCUCCCAGGGCAGACGACCUCCAGGAGCCGCUUUCUUGACCAUACAAGGCGUAUAUGGGGAUGUUUCUGUGCCUGGAGAGUGCAGGGGGAAAGGUCUAGGGUGGGUACGAACCACCAGAGGAGGGGCUCCAUACCUGUCGGUUCCUCCGAAAUCUGGGGUGAGCCCACCUUAGUGCCCCACAGCAAGUCAGGGAAGGUAAACCUCUCCGUGGAAGAGCCAGGAGCCCACUCCCUCAGGCUGAGCCAAUGGGGAGCGGGAGGAGGAUGCUAAGGGGUCCUCAGGAAGGGAUGAGGGAAAUAGCCAAUAGCUGCCUGGGCCUAGGGCCGGGGCUCCCCUCCCUUCCCUCAUCUCUGCCCCUCCCUGGAAGAGGUCAUCGCAUGAUCUCGGGUAGCUCUGGGCUCUCUCCUUCCUCCGGAGAAGCAGGACUCUGGGGGAAGAGCUCUGGUCCCACCCCUUGGCCAACCAGCGAGACCAACAGGGUGAAUAAGUGGGACUGGCCCCAGCACGCCGAGUUCUGUUACCUAAGGGGGCGGGGGUUGCCUGGUCCUCAGCUGGCACCCCCCAAAUUGGAUCUACCAUUCCAGGUCCCAGAGGGAAUGUGGGCAACAAGAUUGGGGGGUGGUUCCAAGGCCUUUGGAAGGAACGUUGAGGCAACACCCACUGAAGCCGACCCCAGAAACGCUCCCUCUCUGAAUAGUAACAUGGACUUUUCAGGGUUUAAGCUGAAUUUCCAGCCCCUGCCUGGACAGGAGAAGGCCUUUGCACCUCCUGCUCUGCUCCCAGCACAGCUUCUGCUCCAGCAAAGCCCACAGGCACUCAGUCCUUGAUUCCUGCACCCACCAACCCCGCCAAGCCGCCCUCACUGUUACCCAGGCGUCCUUUGUCCGUUAGCAACAGAACCCCAGUUUUGUUCAAGGCAUCAAUGUACCCAGCCUCACCAGCAGCUAGGGCCAGCUGUGACACUCUUUGCCCAGGGGAUGACUGCAGGAGGCACAGUCGAGCCUCCCGGUCCUUUGGAAGGGGCAGCUGUGGCCACCCACCUCACUGACAGUCUUCCUUUCUCCUGGCUCCAGCCUGAAGUGUGGGCACGGCAUCCCGAGGACAGCAGCCGUGUGGCCAGCAAGGGGCAGGGUCCCAAGCUGAGGAUGGGAGCAGCUGCCUUGAUGCCCCAGUGGCCACCAUCAGACUCAUCACCAUCGGGAGAACAAGCCCCUGCUCCCUUUAUGGGGCUACCUCAUUGGAUUUCAUUAGGUUUUCUGUAACUCAAGCCAGUGCCACUUCUAUUGUAGCUGCUUUGGGCUCCUACGCUCACGGGGGUGGGACAUGGUUCUAUUAGCUGCGUCCUGCCCCUCAACAAUGAUGGCUCCUUGCGGGCAGGCCCCAAGGGCAUAUCGUGGCCCCACACACAGCGAGUGCCCCACACCUGGAGCAGCCUGGAGGAGCUUGUGAGGAGCAAGGGCGCGGGAGCCACUCCCACGUGCCUAUUUUCCACAUGUCCCCAUGCAGCCCAGGCUUCCAACCACAUCUUAAAAAAUAAAAAGAUGGGGAGGAGAAGAAACUUUGGUCCUAACACCAAACCAAGCCCUGUCUUGCUGUGUGAUGUUCAGCCUGAGGCACACCUUCUCUGGGCUUGUUCCGCAAAGCCGCAAUGCAGGGGCAGAGCAGUCAUGAGGCCUGCCCAGGAGUGAGGGUGGUAAAGGGCUGGGCAGAACCAAGGGCAUGGGGUGUGUGGGAGGGUGGCGGUCCAUUCCCUUGUCACCCACGCAGAGGCAGUGUCAUGAGGGUACACGUGGGAGUCUCUGGGAAGUGUCUGACACAGCCCCAGCACAGGACGGGGUCUGACCAUUCAAGACUCAAUCUGCGUCAUCAGAGACCAGGCUCUUAGAAACCAACGCCAGCCCGAUGUGCAUAACAGCCUCCCAAGGUGUUUAACACGGAGCAGGAGUGACAAAAAGAAAAAUGAAGUAAAAGAAUAGAAAAUCCAUCAA
This is a long non-coding RNA of Symphalangus syndactylus (siamang), 3544 nucleotides long. RefSeq lists it as uncharacterized. NCBI's taxonomy places the organism in Eukaryota, Metazoa, Chordata, Mammalia, Primates, Hylobatidae. The record is from RefSeq and is a predicted model, not a curated record.